Long non-coding RNA from Odontomachus brunneus, 668 nucleotides. RefSeq lists it as uncharacterized. The transcript has 3 exons. The record is from RefSeq and is a predicted model, not a curated record. NCBI's taxonomy places the organism in Eukaryota, Metazoa, Arthropoda, Insecta, Hymenoptera, Formicidae.
UACUCUGACUGUGCCUUAUCGCACCACCGGCUGCUACAUCGAGAGAGGCCCAGGGAGGAUGAAUACGGCAAAGGAACACAAGAAUAGUAGAAUAAAGAUUCCUCCGUCAUCGAGAUCUUUUCGUCUUUUUAAUUCUCAAAAAGUAUUACAAAAUGUCCUGAAAUAAUCCUGGAUUUGCUCAGGAUAUCUUGAAGACGUUCGAGAUUCUGGCAAGUAUUGUUUCGAACUAAUCACCGGGAGUUACGCAGCGACUGUAGGAAGAGAGCGGCCGAGAUUUCAGCCUAACACAAAAAUCAGCAGUACGUGUCGCGCGACAGCGAGACAGAUGUCACGAUAACAAAUGAAGUGAAAUUUUAGUUGAAAAUUUGAUCUGAUCUUUUCGACUGACCCGAUACUAACUGAAUGAGACCUCAGGUGUGCGUUUGCUAUUUUGUAGAAGAUGCGAUCGUAGACGUAAAGGAGACCAGGUCCAGAGAACCUCAGGAUAACCUUAGAUAGGUGUUUUUUAAAUAUUUAUCUCGAGAGUAACAGUGGAUAUAAUAUUCACUGGUCCGAAUAAUACUACAGUUAAAAAAUAAAGAAAAAUAAUUUAGUAAAGUAAAUUUUCCAGUCUUUCACGAAAUUUUGUAUUAAUAUUUUGAUUGAAAAUAAAAUUAAGCGACACGUUA